AAAAAAGUUUAUAAGAUCCACUACUACAUAGAUUAAUGGAUGGUGCUCCUUUCACAAAUGAUUCUUCUUAUGUAGUUUCUUUGGAGAUUGUGUUUACAUGAUCUGAAAGACUUAUAACUAGUUUUUUUAGUUGAAUGUAUUCGUUAAGAGUUACAUUAUAGAUGAGAAAGUGUACAUAUCGUAUAUUCUCUGAUUCUUCGUCAUUCUUACCAGUUACAUCUUUUCAAAUCUUUUUCUCUUUGAUGUGAGAAGCCACUUGCCCGUAUAAACACUGAUUAAGAUACCGGCUGGAUAUAUAGUGUAAGCGAACGCCGUAAAAGUCGUGUGAGAAAGUCGUACAUCAGUAUGGAUAUUUUGAUUUUUGCUUUAUACCUUUAAUUACUUAAAAUUAGGACGUAAUUCGUGGAAUUAAUUUCUCACAAUAGUCGUUAACAUCUUUGUUAACCAACCACUAAAUAAAAUAUUAUCA
RNAcentral lists this small RNA (469 nucleotides) under Arabidopsis thaliana (thale cress). Its description in RNAcentral is "ATSL183680". The record is from RNAcentral. Lineage: Eukaryota; Viridiplantae; Streptophyta; Magnoliopsida; Brassicales; Brassicaceae.